RNAcentral lists this ribosomal RNA (207 nucleotides) under uncultured bacterium. RNAcentral describes it as "partial 16S ribosomal RNA". It matches the Rfam family "Bacterial small subunit ribosomal RNA", at positions 568 to 774 of the family's 1533-position model. The record is from RNAcentral.
AAUGUAGGCGGAUUGGCAAGUCAGAUGUGAAAGCCCCGGGCUCAACCUGGGAACUGCAUUUGAUACUGCUUGUCUUGAGUUUGGUAGAGGUGGAUGGAAUUCCCGGUGUAGAGGUGAAAUUCGUAGAUAUCGGGAGGAACACCAGAGGCGAAGGCGAUCCACUGGGCCAAUACUGACGCUGAGAUUCGAAAGCGUGGGGAGCAAACA